Pelobates cultripes (western spadefoot toad) is the source of this 126-nucleotide non-coding RNA. NCBI's taxonomy places the organism in Eukaryota, Metazoa, Chordata, Amphibia, Anura, Pelobatidae. The record is from the annotation of a GenBank genome assembly.
CCAUAAGUCACUGUGCCACAGUGGUGUGUGUGUGUGUGUGUGUGUGUAUAUAUAUAUAUGUGUAUAUAUAUAUAUAUAUAUAUAUAUAUAUAUAUAUACGCACUACCGUGGCACAAUGAUUUAUAG